RNAcentral lists this unclassified non-coding RNA (1310 nucleotides) under Hevea brasiliensis (rubber tree). The record is from RNAcentral. Lineage: Eukaryota; Viridiplantae; Streptophyta; Magnoliopsida; Malpighiales; Euphorbiaceae.
AUUUCUAAUAAAAAUUCCUACUCUCUCAAUUCUUUUACUGAAAUGAAUAAGUGUAAAUCUAGUUAAAAGACGAAAAUGCCCCUGGCAGAAACUGCUUUUAUCUUGUAGGAAAGUGUUGUUUGUUGUGUUGGCACUUUGGCAAGAAGUUAGUAUUUUAUAAUGUUGAUCAAAAGUAGAGGCAAAAGUACGCAGUGUAAAAGUCAAAGUAGAAACCAAACAUUCGUCUAACCGGACAAAAUAAUACCUUCUCCAAACUGCACGCCUUCUUAUGUAUUUCUCUGAUUAUAUGUAUAUAUAUAUAUAUAUUAACCUGACUUGGUCUCUGACUCUGAUCACUUCCCAUGAAAUGACCUAAACACCCAUAAUUAAGAUGGGUUUGAUGAGGGUAUUUUGGUCACUAUGAAAUACUUGUUGAACACUGUAUUAUUGGGAAACGUGAGGUGCUUAUUUCAAGGGAAUGGCCAUCCAACGGUGGUGGUGUUGGUGGUGUUGGUGGUAGCGAGUUGUGAUAACAUGUAGUCACCGCCAAAUGCAUUUCUGAUUUCUAGGGUUUGUUUACUGAUGGGUAAGGCCUCACCGUUUGAUUGUCUAUGAUUCAGUGCGAGUAUGGGUGGGGGCCAGUUAGUGUUAGGACUACAAAAGCAUCAUGAGGACUCGACAUGGUGAUGGGCCUUAUGAUGGACCAUACUCCCUCAACUUUUUGAGGAUAGAGUAGUAAAUUUAGUCUUAAAAAAACGUUUCACUUUUGAGUUUGGAUCAUCGAGUGUGCCUAUGCCCUACCCAUCAGAAUCAUAGAUUAGACCCUAAAUCCCUUGGGCCACCUUCAAAAUAUUUAUACUGAUCCGCGCAUAAAAUUUAAAUUUCAAUCAAAAUUAAUUAUAUAUAUAAAAAAAAAAAUAUAUGUAUGAUCAUCUUCCCAUCAACAUUUGAUUUACAAGAUAUUAGCAGGAAACAAUUCAGGGAGACGAAUGAGAGAAUGGCCUCUUCUAAUUAGUUUGGGAACACUCCAUGAUUCACAUACUCAUUCUCUGUAAUGUUGUUUCACAGUGUCUGCAGAUGUACAAAUCCUAUAACAAUAAAGAGAAGAGGGAAGAGCAAAGCUACAUUCAUUGGCAUUGAAUGCUUGCUGAAUUUUGGUUACCAUCUUAAAAACAAAAUAAAAAUUGAAGAAUUAUUAACAAUUAACAAACAAACACCCUAUAGAACAACAAAUUUAAGUUUUUAUUUGGCUUUUCUCUUGCUUUCUUUUGUGAAGCAACUUCUAUGGAAAAAAAUGGAGCAAAUGUACAUCUAGCAUGUACAUUAGAGAU